CCAAUAGCGUAUAUUAAAGUUGUUGCAGUUAAAAAGCUCGUAGUUGAAUUUUAGGCCUGGCCGGACGGUCCGUCUCUGGCGAGUACUGUUCUGUCGUCGGGUCUAUCCUUCUGGUGAGCCGUUAUGUUCUUAAUUGGGCGUGUCGGGGAGCCAGGACCAUUACCUUGAAAAAAUUAGAGUGUUUAAAGCAGGCUUUUGCUUGAAUAGAUUAGCAUGGAAUAAUAGAAUAGGACGUUGUGGUUCUAUUUUGUUGGUUCAAGGACCACCGUAAUGAUUAAUAGGGAUAGUUGGGGGCAUUAGUAUUCAAUUGUCAGAGGUGAAAUUCUUGGAUUUAUUGAAGACUAACUACUGCGAAAGCAUUUGCCAAGGAUGUUUUCAUUAAUCAAGAACGAAAGUUAGGGGAUCGAAGACGAUCAGAUACCGUCGUAGUCUUAACCAUAAACUAUGCCGACUAGGAAUCGGGCGACGUUAUUUUUACGACUCGCUCGGCGCCUUAUG
This 498-nucleotide ribosomal RNA is filed under the name uncultured Glomeromycotina. RNAcentral describes it as "partial small subunit ribosomal RNA". It matches the Rfam family "Eukaryotic small subunit ribosomal RNA", at positions 591 to 1092 of the family's 1831-position model. The record is from RNAcentral. Lineage: Eukaryota; Fungi; Glomeromycota.